AACGUUCCUCCUUGAUGGGAUGAGGAAGCAAGAAAAAGCACAUCUGGAGCCCAUGGGCCAAGUUUAGCAGCAGUCAGCCCUGAGCCAACGUUGUCUGAGGGUUUGGCCCAGUUGGGAAAACCCAGGAGAGCCUGAGAUGAUGAACAGGCAGCAGCCAGGGAGCGUCGUGCGAGCUGCUGGCUCAGCCCGGGACUGGGGGCAGGACCCAGGGGGCUCUCCCUUCUCUCACCACUUUCUUUCAAGGCCCUUCAUUCGCUGCUCACUGGUUUGUACUUAGAAAGGCAGUGGGACUAUGUCAAGAGCUGGUCCCUACAGGCAAAUCCCAGCUCCGCCCUCCUGGCCAUCUGAUCACAGCAAGUAACCUCACCGCUCUCCGUGGCCUCACUGCCGCUGACCAAACAGGGACUUUGCACGUGCUGUGCCGAGCGCAGUUUCAGCACUCGCGACCCAGCAGCUUCCAGUUCUUGUCAGUUCCCUUAGGAGACCAAGACCCACCUGGGCUCUCGGAGGACGCCCCCCCCACCCCCCCCAUUUGGGCCUCCUUGUCCCUGUGCUGUCCUCACCCUGCCGUGUGUACCCAGGCUGGUCCUGGCAGCAGUAGGAUGAAGAAAGCUCUUACCCAUAAAUGUCCUCUGCGAGCCUCUGAAUCAUCGCUCUCGAAACUUUUGUCUUGGAAUUUGUUCUGUUGCCCCCAGUUGAGUGUGUCAAAUAGGGAGGCCCAAGGCUGGGGGUGGGGGGUGGUGGCGGCUGUCGAACGUCACUUCCCUGGGAACAGCUCCCGAGUUCAGCUGGCUCACACGUGGAUCAGAUUUGGGCUCAACAUCCUCUGCCAGGGAAAAUAGAAGCCCUCAGAAAAUUAGAAAGAAAUAGCAAGAGGCUUCUCCUCAGUCACAGUGAGUCACCAACAGAAACAUGAACAGAGGCCUGUGGGGAGCUGGGCUCUGGGGUGGGGUGGGCAGCAAGUUGGGGGCCCCCCUGCCCCCUCCCACCCAAGAGUCUGGGCAGGUGGAGGGGGGCAGUGCUUCCCUCGGUGGGCAGGGCUGGGACUCCACUUAGCUUUAAGACCUGCACUCAGGAAAUCCCGCAGACCUAGGCCCAUCAGGACCUGUCAUCUAAACCAAACUCCCCAAGGGCAACAGCCCAGGCCGGGAAGAGGCAGGCCAAGAGGCGGGAAGCUUGUGGCCUCCUGUGGCUGCCUUUCACCCUUCUGGGAUCCAGGCCCCCUGCCAGCGGGUGGGGUGUCUGUACCCACGUCCAAGGGCUCUCCUGAGCUAGCCUGGGAGUCUGCUGGACGUCCUGGGUCCCCUCACCUCCAGCUACCUAAGAGAAGGCUGGGCCUUUCCCUCCUACGGAGCGAGGCCUACCCUAGGGGCUGCAGCAGGACUAGGCUUACAGGCAGAGACAAGGCAACAUCUCACCCUGGUGGAUCUUCCCUUGCUGCUUCCAGAGUUGGGGAGCAGAGUUCUUGGGGGAGCCUGACAUGGGCUGGGUGUGUGUGUGUGUGUGUGGAGUUUUCCUGCAGCCUUGUGAGGGUCAGGCUGGUGGAGCCCACAGAUGCAAGGGUGGGGAGAGGAGGGGGCGGGGCCUGCACUCUCACUUCUGCCCAGGCUGGGGUCGGUCCGGUUUAGCUCACGGGCCAAGAGCUUACCUCUGAGGGCCAUUGAGAAAGAACCAUAUGCCAGGAGGGCUGCCUGCCAGGGUGGGAGGUCCCCAGGAGAGACACCUGGCUGGGGGCCGAGGUGCCCGUGCUUGGGGUCAGCAGCAGGGGCAUUGCAGAGGUCUGCAGAGACCCAUCUGGGAGGAAUGGUGCAGUGCAGAGGCCCUGCGGACUGCAGCGAAGGGCGGGGUGCGGGGGGCGAUGGCGGUGGGGGAAUGUGGACAUGUAGGCAAAGCUGUCACAUGGGGGCUUUGCCCCGGUCAGUAAUGCCCUCAGCGGGGCAGGGGUGGGCGGGGAGCCAGAAGCUCCCACGUUGGGAAGGGGGUGAGCAGGUGGAACGGAAAUGGAACCCACCCUCUUCCCACUAUGGUGGGGUCAGUCCCCCAGGGAUGAGAAAUCGAAGCUUGGCUGUAGGUCAGGCUUUGCCUUGUUAAUGCUUUCCGAUGCGACAGCUUCCUGCAUGAAAAGAAGAACCCAGGAUGGACCUGGAGCAGCAGGGGGAGGGGCUCUCCUGCUUCCUUCUGCCCAUCCUAGAAGCCACACUUAAAACUAUGACCUUGAAUAACUCGGUUUUCUCAGGCUGUAAGUUGGGGUGGGGGGGAAUGGCUCCAUGACCACUAGCAGUGCCCCGCCCCUGUUAGGAAGGGUCUCCCAUUCAGACAGGCCUGGUCAAGCAACGUUAGCCUCUUGUCUUUGCAGAUCAGACAGUUUGGAUCUCGAGGCAACUCUGGCUGGAGCCUUGGGAGGCAUGAGGGUCAGUCUCAUCCCUGCGUGGGCCCCAGGUCUCCACGGAGCUUUCAACAAGGUCCAGCCCUGAGUGUGGCCCAGAGACCCAGCAAUCAUGGAGGUAUCCUUCCUCUGAAGAUGUUCAGGCCAGAGGGAACAGGAUGUGAGUGGUUGGACCUCCAGAACAGAGGGCACAGGGGAGGGCAUCGAACCCCGGGAAGUGGAGUCCUGCCCUGUGGGAGAAAGGGAAGGGGGAUCCCGGCGGGGGAGACCCUGUCUCCCGGGCUCAGACUCCUCAAGUCAGUCGCCUGCAUCUCAGGUCCCAGCACGUGGACAGUGGGCUGGGCAGUGAUGGUGCUUUUAAUGCUUGUAGAGUAUAUGCGCCAUCUUGCCCCGUUUUCAAGUAAGGAAACUUGGGCCCAGGGAGAAGUGAUGUGUCCAGGUCACAGCAUGUCAGUGAUGGCGUGUCUAUGAGGCCAGACUGCAUGCUCUUUUCCAUCCGGUUUACACAGCAUCCGGCAUCGGCCCACCAGGCCGCGGGGCUACCAGCCCCUCCUGCUGAGGCCCGAGUAUCACCAGGAGCCACCCUGGUGCCUCAGCCUGGGCAGAGGUGGGAAACUCACCUGCCAAAAGGACCAGUGUGUCCCACUUCUGACUGCGGCAGCCGCAGAACACUGGGGCUGGGAGCAGUAGCGGCAGAGCUCCUCCAAGGCUCCCGCGGCCUCCAAGGCAGCAGCUCAGACCCGGCCCAGCUGGCCCAAAUGAGUGUGUGCGGUGAGGUGGGGGUCGGAGUUGUAACUGGAAGGCUCUGGAAGCCGGGCCUCAGGACAGCAGGCCCUGGGAUCAGGCGCCAGCCCUCCCAGUCUCCUGGAGUCCUGAGUUGGCCUCGAGGGACCAAGCAAGAAGGACCCAGGCCCAUCCGGUCCCUCUGCCCCUCCCUCUCAGGGGAGGGCCCUGGAAACGCCCUCUUGUCUACAGUUUGGACAACACCGGGGGUAAGUCUGCCCGGGCUCACCAGGAGGGUGGUUCCCAGAGCCAUGGGACCUGGGGUCUCCCAGACAGUGUCUAGCUGUCCGCACAACUGGCAGAAUGAUUUUCUUGGUUUCCAACAACUUGAAAACCACAUGUGAUUUUCCAUAGUCUGGUGCCCCCGCCCAGCUCCCCAGGCUUGGACUGCUGAGUGAGCAGAGUUCACCGGAAUUCCUUCCACUCACCGCAGGACCCCGCCCCCGGGAGACUGGGGGGUCACUGCAGCCGCAGGGGGGCUGAUGGGCUGAGGGGCGGGAGGCGGGCUUCCAGGGCCUGAGUAAUUCUGCAGCCCGCAGACUGGGAUGAGGACAAGGGCUGCGUGUGGCAGUGUCAUGUGACAAUCAGGCAGGGUUGUCCGGUUCCAAACAGGCUCUACUGGAAAAAAGUAUGCUCAGCAUUCCUCCCACCUUCAUCUAAAUUGACUCCGAUGGAUCGAAGAUGUAGAUGUUGAAAGAGAAGCCAUCAAAGUCGUAAAAGAAAACAUAGAAAUCUGUGCUUAUAACCUUCGUGGGGGAAGUCUUUCUAAGCAGAAACUGUAGAAGGAUGGAGAAUUUUGGUUGCAUAAAAGCGCUAGCUUUCUGUUCAGAAUAUCCUGAAAAUGAAAUUAACAGGCAAACAGAACACUGGAAAUAGGUCCACAAGCCCUAGGUCAGAAAGCGAACAUUUUAGGAGCUGCCCGUGGCCUCAGAGCCUCUCUCCAAGCCUCAGUUUCUCUCCUCCUUAAAAUGGGAUAAUACUGACAGUAUCGCUCCUUGUAAAAAGGGCACAAGGUUUCACUGAGAUAAAUCUAGAAAGCUGUGCCUGAAAAAUAGUAAUUCUUUGAGAAAGGGAAAACAUUCUUUACAUUUUUAAAGCUAAUUUGACCUUGUUUCCAUUUUUAAAAGUGAGCCCCGAGAUAGAGGCCAAUUCACAAAAGAAGCAUAAGUGGGGACUUCCGUAGUGGUCCAGUGGUUAAGACUCCACGCUUCCGCUGCAGGGGGCACAGGUUCGAUCCCUGAUCGGGGAACUAAGAUCCCGCAUGCCACUAAUAAACAUAUGCAAAAAUGUUGACCUCAUGAAAAAUUAUACAAAUGCUAAUUAAAAUACACUGAGUAGUACUUUUCCAAUAUCAAAUUCCCAAAGAUUAAAAUCCUCCUGGUGGGCUUCCCUGGUGACGCAGUGGUUAAGAAUCCGCCUGUCAAUGCAGGGGACGCGGGUUCGAGCCCUGGUCCGGGAAGAUCCCACAUGCCGUGGAGCAACUAAACUCAUGUGCCACAACUACUGAGCCUGCGCUCUAGAAUCCGCGAGCCACAGCUACUGAAGCCUGUGCACCUAGAGCCCGUGCUCCGCAACAAGAGAAGCGACUGCAAUGAGAAGCCCGCGCACCGCAACGAAGAGGGGCCCCCACUCACCGCAACUAGAGAAAGCUCGUGCACAGCAACGAAGACCCAACACAGCCAAAAAUAAAAAUAAAUAAAUUUAUUUUAAAAAAAAACCCUCCUGGUGGAGGCGGGUACCAGGAAAUCACUGUCUGAGCACUGUCCUGCAGGACCAUUUGGCUGCAGAGAUCAGAAACCCCACUGUGAUGAGUAAUUUUGUGUGUCCCCUGACUGGGCUAAGGGAUGCCCAGAUCAACGGUGAAACAUUAUUUCUGGGUGUUUCCGUGAGGCUGUUUCCGAAAAAGAGUCACUGAUCUGAAUCAGUGGACUGAGAAAAGCAGAUGGCCCUCCCCAGUGUGGGUAGCCCCAAUCUCUGCUUGAGCUGGGACGUCCAUUUCCUGCCCUCGGACAUCAGCUCUCUCGGUUCUCAGGCCUUUGGGUUUGCACUGAACUGCACGACUGGCUCCCCUGGGCCUCCAGCUUGCAGACGGCAGAUGGCAGCCUCCAUAAUCAUGUGAAUCAAUCCUUCCUAAUAAGUCUCUCUCUAUACAUGUACAUGUAUCCUGCGGCUUCUGUUUCUCUGGGGAACCCUGACUGAUACGCUCUCUAAAGCAGCUGAGCCCUGACAGGCGAUCCCACAGGUGCCUGGUGGGACAGAGGGCCACCACGUUCCCCUGCAGCCCAGCCUUCACUGUUCACCCAGACCCCUCCAUACACCAGAACCUCAGCCUGGACUUCAGCUCGAUGCAUUUCCCAGAGGGGACUUGGACCAGGCAACUGGACUCCACCCUAUACCUUAUUCCAAUCAGCUGCUGGAGGGGUCGGCCGUGUGCCCAGGUAUGGCUGCACCGGCCACCUCCCCUGGAGCCAGAAGAGGACCCAAGGCCUGGGUAGGCCCUGGGCUCAUCUUCUCGGGAAACUGGACGCCAGCCUCAUAAAUGAGCAUGUGCCCCAACAUCUGCACCCCUCUGCCACUCCAAGGACAGAUUUUCCCGUCCUGAAGUGCAUUGUGACCUCAAGGUGGGUGAAGCAUGUGACUCUGGAGGUGGCGAGCCUGGGAUGUCCAUCCUGUCCACGGGGACUUUGGGGAAUGAGGUGCUGCAUUAGCCCCUGAGAAGGCCUCCCCUGCCCCACCCCCCACCCCGCCCUCAGACUAAUACAACACGUUCCUGAUUUAGUGGGAGGAAAUCCCACCGACAGGUGGGCACGUCCUGCCUCAGGGGACGUAUUUGCUGUUCCUUCUGCCUGCAGUGUCCUUCCCAGCUUCUCACUGAAGCUUCCCCAGCUGCCCUUCAUAAAACUUCAGCCCUCUCCUAUAUCUGCCAAAACAAACCAUCCCACUCCCCUACUUUAUUUCUGACAUAUUGACCCAUUGGGCGAUACUGAUGGUGCUAAUGGCUCCAGUUAAGUGGCCUCCCUGUGCCCAUGCCCUUUGCCCUGUGCCUUGUAACCUUGUAGGCCCCUCCUACUCUGACUACAGGCUUGGCCACGUGAUGGCUUUGGCCAGUUGGACAGGAACAAACUUGGUCCAAGGAGAGGCUUGAAAAAACACUUGAAGCAUCCUCUCUCCCCUUCCCCACAACCUUCCAGAACGAUGAGAGCACACCUGGGCUGUCCUGCUGGAGGACAAGACCACAGGGAACAAAGCUGAGACCAUGCAAAACAGGCUGCCACAGCCAGUGGGACACAAGAGGGAGACCAGCGAGACCAGCCAAGCUGGGCUCAGAUGGGCAGAGCUGCCCAGGCAGCUGGCAGGCAGACCUGAGCCAGAAACCCAGCCAACGAAAACAAGACGCGCUGACCAGCUCUGUAGGAGGAAGGGGACCCCUAGCAGAGCUCCUAAAUCCCUUGGAAUCUACUGGGUGGAAGGAGGAUCUUUUGCUCCAAUUCUGUGACUCUAAGUGGGUUCCUGGAUGGCUUCAGGAUCAGGGCUGGUCACCAGAAAGAUCAAGCCAUGAUAAGGAGCUUGGAACUUUCAGCCCAGCUGGAGAUGGAGUUAAUGAUCGAUCAUGCCUGUGUGAUGAAGCUGGCUAUAUAAAAGUCCCUAAAGAUGGGGUUCAGAGAGCUCGUGGCUGGUGAAUACAUCCAUAUGAUGGGGGCUCACUCCAGCUCCACGGACACAGAAGCUCCUGUGCUCAGGGCCCUUCUGGACCUUGCCCUGUCUAUUUCUUCAUCUAGCGGUUCACUCAUAUCCUUCAAUAUCCUUUGUAAUAAGCUGGUUAUCUAGUAGGUAAACUGUUUUCCUGAGUCCCGUGAGCUGUUCUAACAAAAUAUCAAAUUGGAGAAAGGGGCUCAUGGGAACCCCAGCUUAUGGCCAGUUGGUCAGAAGCACAGGUGACAACCUGGACUCAAUGUUGGCAUCUGAAGUGGAGGCGGGGCCAGGCGGGUCUGCACUAACUCUGGUCAGUGUCAGAAUUGGGUUGAACUUAGGACACCCAGCUGGUGCUGGAGAAUUGCUGGGUGUGGAAAACCCACACAUCUAGUGUCAGAAGUGUCACGUGAGAAUAAAGAAGAACACAGGGGUGUUUUUCCAAGGUAGCACCCCAAGGCUGCUGUUCACCAGCUGUGCAAACUCCAGCAAGUCACUUGACCUCUCUGUGCCUCUCCCUCCUUCCCAGCAAGAUGGGAACAUGGAUGUCAUCCACUGACAGGAAUGUCCUGGGCCUCAAUGAGCUGACACGUGUAAAGUGCUUAGAACUGCUCCUGGCAGAGAGCGCUGCUCUCAUUUUAAGUGCACAUGCUUAAAAAAAACAUUUUAUUAUUGAAAUUUCAAACAUAUCCAGAAGUGGAGAGGUGAUAUGCCGAACUUUCCGCCUCUGUCAUCAAAGUUCUCAACUCAAGGCCCAUCUUGUUUCAUCUGUGUCCCACCCUUUCCUCCGCCUCGACAUGAUUUUGAAGCAAAUCCCAGACAUCAUAUGAUUUCACCAGGAAAUAUUUUACUGUGUACUUCUAAAUGAAAGGACUCCCUCUGCUUGCCUCUCAAUCUCUCUCUCUCUCUCUCUCUUUCUCUCUCUCUCUCUCUCUCGCUCCACCAUAACCUAUGUAAUGAGUGAUAACUCUCAACCACGUUUCUUUUUUCUUUUUAAAUUAAUUAAUUAAUUAAUUAAUUUUUUGCUCCUUUGGCUCUUUGCUGCUGCGCGAGGGCUUUCUCUAGUUGCAGCGAGCGGGGGCUACUCUUCGUUGCGGUGCGUGGGCUUCUCAUUGCGGUGGCUUCUCUUAUUGGGGAGCAUGGGCUCUAGGCGCGCGGGCUUCAGUAGUUGUGGCACGUGGGCUCAGUAGUUGUGGCUUCCGGGCUCUACAGCGCAGGCUCAGUUGUUGUGGCGCACGGGCUUAGGUGCUCCGCGGCAUGUGGGAUCUUCCCAGACGAGGGCUUGAAGCCACGUGCCCUGCGUUGGCAGGUGGAUUCUUAAUCACGGGGCCACCAGGGAAGUCCCCCCCCCCCGGCCCUGACUUUAGUUCUCUCCAUGGCGCUUUGCCCUUCUCCCAUCCUCUCAGUUAUCUGUGGCUGUGUGACCAAAUGCCCUAAAGCUGAUUUGUCUUACAGCAGCGGUGCUACAUCAUUCCUUACCAUUCUGUGAGCCAUUGCAUGGGGGAGGAGCCGGCUGACGCCACGUGCAGGAGUCUGCUCACAGAAUCAUGAGGAAUGAUCUAGCGCCGCUGCUUUAAGACGUCAGCCGGAAGCUGGUGUCCCGAGGGCUCCUGGUUCUCUGUUCACAUGGUUCCCAGCACCCACAGUGCAGCCUGAACUUCUUUCCGUGACAGUUGCCUUCCAAGAGGGCAGAAAUGGAAGCUGCGUGCCCUCGUCAGGCUGAGCCCACGCAUCCCACAAUGUCGCUUCUGCUGCCUUCUGUUGGUCCAAGAAAGUUCCAGGGCCGGCCCCCUAUUAAAAGGAGGGGAUAGACCCCACCUCUUGCUGGGGAGAGCAUCAGAGGCACGAUUGGAGAAGGGUGUGCACGCCGAAGGGACUGGUCAGCCAUGCCCUCUGUGCCCCGUGGCACCACUGGCACCGUGUGCAUUCUCCUUAUUUGUCUAUCUGUCUUGCCUCUACAAAAAUGGAAUGAAGGCAGGUCCUUCUGUGCGUCUUAUAUCUGUACCCCCUGCGCUUAGGGCAACACAAUUUUGUUGAAUCCGUGGUUGGGAGGCUGGCUCAGAAGUCAAACAGCCACUGUUUAAAUCAUAACUGUGCCUCUGUGUGCACUGUAAACUUGGAAAGAGUAAUUUGGCUCUCGGCCUCAGUUCUUCUCUCUGUAAAAUGGGGGAAGUAAUAGCAGUACCAAUUCCAUACAACUGAGGAGAGAAUAAAGAUGUAAUAGAACAAAUAAUUAACACAAUACAUGGCCUAUACCAAGCCCUCCAUAAAUGUCAGUAGUUGUACUGACUAGGAUUCCCCCCCGCCCCACUAUACCCAGAUUCCAUCCUUUUCCAUCUGCAUGCGGCCCUGACCACGGACACCCUCCUGAGCUAACCAUCCACCCCCCUUUCCUCCAGUGAAGGACAGACUCUGACCUUGACCUGCCCCGCAUCCUGGGGCAGGCUGCUGCCUCCCUCUCUGACCUCUCAAUACCCUCCACCCCGUGGGCCACCGUCCAUGACAACCUUGGGCAUUGAGCCAAGCUUUCCAGCCCAGGGCUCUCCUUGAAGCCGAUAAGCUGGAACUCCCCACAGUCAUAUCUGUGUUUUAUUUCAAUAACAGUAGUAAAUUGGAAAAUACCUAAAUGACAUUGGGUCUGUUCACUCAAGAACGUAAUAAUGUCAUAUUCUGCCUUAAUAUCAAUGGAAUUACCUGUGGUGGAAAGGGUAGACAGUUGUGUCAAUUUGUGACGGAGUUUGGUUCAGCAAACAUCCCUCUUCUCGUAAUUCUUCCAGACCACUUAGCCCUUCCCCUAGGGAUUACCAACCAUGCUGAGUCAGGGCUGGUUGGACAAAUGAACGCUAAGAGCCUUCAUUUUAAGGACACAUCUAUCUCUUUUCCAUCAUUCUUAGGCCAAGUCCCCAUGGUGGGAGGGAGUCAGGGAUUCUUCUCUACCCCUUGGCCCAGUCUUCCCACUCCAGAUCUUGUCCCAGGCCUCCAAGCCCCCCACCUCCUUCUUACACAGAGCCCAUCUGUUUGUGUCCCCCCCUCCCCCAAAUCCACAUGUUGGAAUCCUGAUGCCCAAGGUGCUAGUGUUAGGAGGUGGGGCCUUCUGGAGAUGAUUAGGUCAUGAGGAUGGGGCUUUCGUAGCUGGGAUUAGUGCCCUUAUAAAAGAGGCACCAUGUCUCACCCCCUCUGACAUAUGAGGAUACAGUGAAAACUCUGCAGCUUGGUAGUGGGCCCUCACCAACACUGAAUCUUCCAGCACCCUGAUUCCACAUGUCCAGCCUCCAGAACUGUGAGAAAUUAAUGUCUGUUUUUUUCAAGUCACCCAAUCUGUGGUAUUCAUUAUAGCUGCCUGACCAGACUUAGACACCAUCCAACAAGCAAAGGGAACCCACGUUUUCCUUAAAAGACAGUAUAGUUUCUCAAAAAUAAAGCAUCUCCUUUGGUCACAUAACCUGGCAGGCCCAUGGCAAGCCACAGUCCCUGGCAUGAGCACAUCUAUUCCUAUCAGAAACUACAUCCUGCAGCUCUGACAGAUUUUUGCAGAGAUCCAUGAUGGACCAUGGAACCUGUCAGCAGAGUCCAGGGCUGAGCCUGGGUCGGAGGUGUGGACUCAGGGUAGUAGAUUGAAUGGUGCCCCCCCUGCCAAAUUCAUGCCCAUGAGGAACCUCAGACUGUGACCACAUUUGGAAUAAGGGUCUUUGCAGAUGUAAUUAAGAAUUUCAUGAUGAGGUCAUCCUGAAUUAAGGGUGGGCCUUAAAUUCAAUGACUGGUGCCUUUAUAAGAAAAGGUGGGGGGGCACUUCCCUGGUGGUCCAGUGGUUAAGACUCUGCGCUUCCACUGCAGGGGACACGGGUUUGAACCUGGCUGGGGAACCAAGAUCCCGCAUGCCAUGCAGCGUGGCCAGAAAGUAAAAAUAAAUUAAAAAUUAAAAAAUAUAUAUAUAUAUAAGAAAAGGGGAAGGGACAGAGGGAAGGCAGCCAUUGGGUUGGGGAUGGGGCAGAGAUCAGAGGGAUGCAGCCGCAAGCCCAGGAAUGCCAGGAGCCACUAGGAGCUAGAGGAGGUGGGAAGGAUCUUCCCCUAGAGCUUUCAGAGGGAACACGGCCCUGCUAACACCUUGAUCUUAGAAUUCCAGGCUUCAGAACUACAAGAAUAAAUUUCUGUUGUUUCAAGCCCCCAGUUUGUGGUAAUUUGUUACAGCAGCACAGGACCAAAUACACCAGGUACUAUGAACUGAAUUGUGUUCCCUCAGAUUCAUAUGUUGCAGCCCUAAUCCCCAAUGUGACUGUAUUUGGAGAAAGGCCUUUUAGGAGUAAUAUGGUUAAAUGACGUCACAGGGGUGUGGUCCUAAUUUGAUACGACUGGUGGCCUUAUAAGAAGAGGAAGAGAUCUCUUUCUCUCCCUCUCCACGAGCACACAAAGAGAUCGUGUAGGCACACAGAGAGACGGUGGCCGCCUACAAACCAAGAGAGAAGGCCUCAGAAUGAAAGCUGCCUGCCAGCACCCUAAUCCUGGAUU
This is a long non-coding RNA of Orcinus orca (killer whale), 11365 nucleotides long. RefSeq lists it as uncharacterized. The transcript has 4 exons. NCBI's taxonomy places the organism in Eukaryota, Metazoa, Chordata, Mammalia, Artiodactyla, Delphinidae. The record is from RefSeq and is a predicted model, not a curated record.